UAGCGUAUAUUAAAGUUGUUGCAGUUAAAAAGCUCGUAGUUGAAUUUCGGGGUCAGUAGGUCGGUCGUGCCACUGGUAUGAACUGGUUUUACUGAUUCCUCCCUCUUGAAGAACUGUAAUGCCAUUAAUUUGGUGUUGCAGGGAAUCAGGACUGUUACUUUGAAAAAAUUAGAGUGUUUAAAGCAGGCA
Molecule: ribosomal RNA, 189 nt
Filed under: uncultured Glomeraceae
Lineage: Eukaryota; Fungi; Glomeromycota; Glomeromycetes; Glomerales; Glomeraceae
Description: partial 18S ribosomal RNA
Rfam family: Eukaryotic small subunit ribosomal RNA
Source: RNAcentral